AAGCCUAUAAAAAGACCAAUCAAGAGAAGUAAAUGAUGUGAAUUUGCAUAGUAUCAUGACUAUUGAUUUGCCAUAAAUGCCAAGCAGCUAUAAAACAGCUAUCAAAAGAAGAAAAUGCUGUGUAUUGGAAUAGUAUCUUGAACCAUUGCUUUGCCAUAAAUGCACAGAGUAGUACACCCCAAAAAACAGAAAAAAGGAAAAAGGGAAAAAACCCAGCGCUGUGCUAUAAAACUGUGUAUUGAAUCUUCCCGUCAUCCUUUACUUGCUCCGAAAAAAGCUGUAACUAUAUCUGCACAAUCCCUGGGUUUUGUUCUUCAGCAAAAUUAGCAGGCCUCCAAAAGGUUCUUGCAGUACCUGGAUUGGUUAGCUAGCAUGAUUGCAAACAAGAAACCUCGAACUUCCUAUGCUGAUAUCCCACAAGAUACCAAAGAUCGGCGCAAUCAACGUCGUAGAGAAUUAAAUGGUAAUCUUCCAGCAGCAGUCAGGGCCAAGCGGAAUGAACAGCGUAAGCUUGUGUACGCUGAAUCCCCAGACACAUAUUCUAAUCUUCCACAGUCUAUCAAAGACAAGCGCAAUGAAUGCCGUAAACAAUUACGCUUACAGAAAAAAAAAAGAACAGCGCAGAAUCAACAAGACCAAUUUGCUCUACAAAUAGGUCUGGAAACUUCUGGCAAAAUAUGAUACGUACCAUGGUUCCAACACAAACAGUUCAUCCAACCAACUCAGAAGUUGUGACUGAGCCAUUACCAGUUGCGACAAUUUCGACAGAUGAAAAUGCCACAAAAACCUUGGUGGCAGGUGUGAUUACCAAGGUUUCUCAGGCUUUUGUUCAUUGUUGUGCUACCAGUACACAUGAAAUAGGUAACUUAAUGUUUUGAGUGGGAUUUCUUUAUAGCAUAGUAAUAAAACAUGUAUGGAAUUUCCCAGUCCCAUCUUCAACUUUCGAAUAAAUGACAGACCUUCUAACUCUAUUCGAUUUCAGGUUCAAGCUCAUGCGCAACAGUUGCAGCCGCAAAAAGAUCCAGUAUAUUUAUAAAACUUAAACUCAAGUAUUUGUUCAUACCAGGGGAUUACCCGCCCGACAACUAAUAGUUCCGUUCUCUCGUGUUUUGCUAAUAUAGGGAAAGGAAAUACAAAUGGCCAACAUGUACCUGUACGUCGACGUCCAGUACCAACCAAACCAUUUGUGUUGCCGAGCGUACCUCAGUGUGUUCAUUGUCAUGCCAAACGCUUCCCAUUUGAACCUGAUGGUUUUUGCUGCUCCAAGGGUCAAGUCUCCCUCUAUCCUUUGUGUACUUUGGAUAAGCUACUAAACCUGUAUCGAGAUUCUUCAAAAUUAUCCAAAGAUUUCCGAACACAUAUUCGUCCUUACAACAAUAUGUUCGCUUUCACUUCAUUCGGUGUAACUCUCGACCCGCAGUACACCAAAAACCACCAAGGGAUCUACACGUUCCGUGCUCAAGGUCAAAUCUACCACUUCCUCCACACUCUAUACCCUGCAGAUGGGAAGCCAUCCUACCUUCAGCUGUACUUCUACAACAC
Rhododendron vialii is the source of this 1542-nucleotide long non-coding RNA. RefSeq lists it as uncharacterized. The transcript is spliced from 2 exons. NCBI's taxonomy places the organism in Eukaryota, Viridiplantae, Streptophyta, Magnoliopsida, Ericales, Ericaceae. The record is from RefSeq and is a predicted model, not a curated record.